This 1265-nucleotide long non-coding RNA is filed under the name Sorghum bicolor (sorghum). Its description in RNAcentral is "long non-coding RNA (SBIC_LNC001271)". The record is from RNAcentral. Lineage: Eukaryota; Viridiplantae; Streptophyta; Magnoliopsida; Poales; Poaceae.
CAUGAACACUCCCUACUUUGAGUUUGUACCAAUGUCUAGCUUUUCCUGUUAAAGAGAACGGAAAGAGCUUCCAUUUAAGGGUCUCAUCGGACAUGCCUUCAAUGCGAAGGAGGUCACAGACUCGAUACAACUCUCUUAGGUAUGUGUAUGGGUUUUCCUCACCUUCUCCUGAGAAAGGUUGUUUUUGAACAAAUUCUAUGUAUCCAGGGUCUAUCUCAAAACUAAAUGUUAUGAUAGGCUUUGAAGAUUUUGGUCGUUCGAGAUGUGUGCCCAUAGGUCUAUGAAACUGAUAGAUAGACAUGUUUGUAUUCAUGAUAGACAAGAAAUCAAGGAUUAGAUAAGAAGAAAGAAUAGCAGAGAUAAGGCAAAGGAUAAAAGGAAAAGUAUAUUUUUUUAUUAUUUUUUUGAAAAUGAUUAAGGUAGUUCGUAGUCAACUCAGCAACCGUCUCCCCGGCAACGGCACCAAAAAUGCUUGUUGACACUUGCUAACACCACUUGAAUACUAGGUUGUCAUCCCCAGCAUGGCACUAGAGUGUACUAUGGUAUUUAUACGCACACAGAUAAAUCCGCAAGCGCACGGAUACCGUUGUAGCUUUUACCCCGGUUAAAGGUUUUAUCGUAUCCACAGGGAAACGGGAGAACUGAUCUACGCUCUAACUUAACCUAGAUAGAUAGGUAGGUGUAAAUAGGAAAGAUGGUAGAAUUGAAUAAGAACAAUAUUAAAGGUAAGAUAACAAUGGGGGAUAAUAUGGGAAUAGAGAGUAGAACAAUCUAGUAUAUGAGCGAUGGUAGGAGAAUAGAGAGGAUAAGUAUGGUUUCACUACUUCAAAGGGGUAUGUCUAUGUCUGGGAUGAACCACGUGAUAACAAUACACCACAAAGGAUGCUUAUCCAUAGGCCGAUAAACCCUACCCGUCCUGCUAACAGGAGGUGGACUACAGGGGACCAACGUAACUGUCACCUACGCGGCCUACCACACGAUCCAGCUAGAUAGGGGAUAUCCACAAGUAAUCUAGGUCUAAGCACCAUGCUUACACCCAUACUACAACUCUCACCUAUAGCGUCCUAUAGAUUAAAGUACUCAAAAGAGUUGUGAACCAGAACAUACAUAGAUAGUAAUUGCAUAAUGAAUUAGAAGUAGAUUACUAGAGUCAUCCCAUGAGCAAGCUUGAUUAGAGCUUGAUCAUGGCGAAGUACAACCGGAGGAAGAACCGACAGGCCGGCCUCUCCUCUAAUCCUCCCUCGCUCUCCAUCUUGCUACUAUCU